UCUGGUGAUUGUAGCGGUGUGGCACCACCUGAUACCAUCUCGAACUCAGAAGUGAAACGCACCAGCGCCGAUGAUACUUCUCCGGCAACGGAGCGGGAAAAUAGGUCAUCGCCAGAA
RNAcentral lists this ribosomal RNA (117 nucleotides) under Candidatus Dojkabacteria bacterium. The record is from RNAcentral.